Molecule: non-coding RNA, 108 nt
Organism: Ceratotherium simum simum (southern white rhinoceros)
Lineage: Eukaryota; Metazoa; Chordata; Mammalia; Perissodactyla; Rhinocerotidae
Source: RefSeq, a predicted model, not a curated record
ACUCCUGUUACGACGGACACUAUCAAAAAAACAGAAAAGAAAAAGUGUUGGCAAGGAUGUGCAGAAAUCAGAACCUUUGUGCAUUGUUGAUGGAAGAGUAAAAUGGUA